Molecule: non-coding RNA, 1878 nt
Organism: Heterocephalus glaber (naked mole-rat)
Lineage: Eukaryota; Metazoa; Chordata; Mammalia; Rodentia; Bathyergidae
Source: RefSeq, a predicted model, not a curated record
GCAAGGCCCGAGGUUGCCCCCUACCCAGGCCUGGUCUCUGCUGGGUCAAGGGCAGACUUCCAAGGCAAGGUGCCCUUCCAGCCCCUUCCUCACCACCUCCCGAGGAACCACUUGUUCCUUCUGGGGGCCUGGACUGCCGCCUUUUCCAGGCCCCCACAGAUCACUGAGGUGUCCUACCUACGCUCCAGCUCCAGCUCCGCUAGGGACCCGACCUGCCUGUGCACCAAACCUGCAGGACCCUGGGCUCUUGGCUCAGGACUAUUCCAAGCCAAGACCUUGUCGUGUUCCCGGUGUGAGGCUUCCAGCACAGACUCAUCAAUCUUCCAGCUCAGACCCUUCAGCUUUCUGACAUUGACUCACACCAGACUCUGCAGAGAACUCCAGGCCUUCCACCUUCAACUGGAUCUUCCACUUUUCUAGAGCUCAGAGGACCAUUUUGCAUUCUUCCACCCCUGAUUCUGCAGACGAGAACUGCAACUGCUCAGACUUGGACCGUAGGCCUACACCUGCAGCAGAGAGAAAGAUCCAGAAUCUCUGACAGCCACAGGCUGGGGGAAGAACAGCUCCCCAGUGCACAGAUGGGUGCUGAGCAGACAAAACAGCAUGUGCCCAAGUGUGUGAGAGCCAGAGGGCAAACGAGAAAAUUCACAGUGUUCACAGGGUAUGGAGUUCCCCCCUGUGAAAAAAGAAUCUAAAAUACUGUGGUUUGGCCAAGACAGAAGUACAGUUAGUUCUCAGCUAAUAUUGCCAGGUGUGGACAGGUAGGCCAGGAAUCACAGGAGUUUUGCCUUCCUUCAUUAGAUGGAUGCUCCCAUCCACUCUGCUAGAUGAAGAGGAUGAUUAGUAAAUCCCAUGGACCAGGAACAGCAUGACCAAUAGUGUCUUAGUCACUUUCUCUUGGCUGAGAUACAAUACACAGGACCCACAACUUAAAUGAGAAAAGGUCUACUUUGGCUCAAGGUUCCAUCCAUAGUUCUCUGGCUCCAAGAGAGGAAGAGCAUGGUGGAUGGGCCUGGGUAGAGAAAGCUGCUCACACCAUGGUGGCCAGAAAGCAGAGAGAGAGAGAGAGAGAGAGAGAAGGAAGGAGCCAGGGAGGAAGAUACACCCUUCCAGUUCAUGCCUCAGUGACCCACCUUUCCCAGUCCAGCCUACAUUCCAGUAGCACACCCAUCCACUGAUGAGUACAUCACCUCCAUGAUCCAACUAUCUCCCACAAGUCCUGCCUGUGAGCACAUAAAGCUUUGGUGGGACAUUCUUGAUCUAAACCAUAACAAAUACACCAAAAAUCGAUAGAUAAAAUAUACCAGGAAGAUUGUGUUCAGUAGGUUCUUUACAUUGGAAAGAACUUUCUCAAUAGAUUUGAUAGACAGAGAACAGUGUGAUCAACAUGAUCAGUUGAUUCAAGCAAUAUCUAGAAGUGGCACACACCACUUCUGUCAUGAACUAUUGACUAGGUCUAAGUCGUGAGCCCACAUGUAGCUGCAAGGGAGAUUUGACAAUGUGGUCAAUAGCUGAAUCAGUAUGUAACCAGCUAAAAGAUUUUUAUAUUAAGGAAAGGAAUAUAGAUAUUCAUGGACACUUAAGAGACUGGCAUACAUGCUCUAGUGUAAUAAGUGCUACAUAAAUUUAAGUGGACAACUGAUCAUCUACUAGAAUGUCUAACAUUAAAAACAUCCCAAGUUGGCCGGGGAUUUAGCUCAGUGGUUCCGCUGCCUGCCUCGCAAGCACAAGGACCCGAGUUCAAUCCCCGGUACCAAAAACAAAACAAAACAACAAAAACACCCCAAGGUGGCAACAUAUAGAGCCACUAAGCCAUUCAUACACUGCUGCUAGGAGUGUGAAAUAGUGUAGCCACUUUGAGAAAAUACCUAACAGUCC